AAAAUCUCAUCCUUGCAAAAAGUGUGUACGUUACUAUCAUAGAAACUAUGCAGAGAUUUAUGAUCACCUUGUAGUUAAUGGUAUAAUGCUUGGGUAUAAUGCUUUGGAGUCUAUUACAUAUGCAACCAUUUCUAUUGGAGUCACUAUUAAUGGGAAAGAAACAUCUAGAGGCAAUGAUAUGGUCAAAAUGAUACGUGAAGCAUUUGGAGUUUAUGAUGAAGUAAAUUUAAAUUCAAAUACAGAGCCUUUAAGUGAGACAAAUUUAGAAAGAUUGGUAGAAUCAGAAUUCAUAGAGCAUUCUCUGUCAGAUGUUGAAAAAUU
RNAcentral lists this long non-coding RNA (321 nucleotides) under Elaeis guineensis (African oil palm). Its description in RNAcentral is "long non-coding RNA (EGUI_LNC072367)". The record is from RNAcentral. Lineage: Eukaryota; Viridiplantae; Streptophyta; Magnoliopsida; Arecales; Arecaceae.